GUGCUCACUUCAGCAGCACAUAUACUAAAAUUGGAAUGAUACAGAGAAGAUUAGCUUGGCCCCUGUGCAAAGAUGACAUGCAAAUUCAUGAAGCAUUCCAUAUUUUU
RNAcentral lists this small nuclear RNA (107 nucleotides) under Choloepus hoffmanni (Hoffmann's two-fingered sloth). The record is from RNAcentral. Lineage: Eukaryota; Metazoa; Chordata; Mammalia; Pilosa; Megalonychidae.